GAUGAACGCUGGCGGCGUGCCUAAUACAUGCAAGUCGAGCGAACGGACGAGAAGCUUGCUUCUCUGAUGUUAGCGGCGGACGGGUGAGUAACACGUGGAUAACCUACCUAUAAGACUGGGAUAACUUCGGGAAACCGGAGCUAAUACCGGAUAAUAUUUUGAACCGCAUGGUUCAAAAGUGAAAGACGGUCUUGCUGUCACUUAUAGAUGGAUCCGCGCUGCAUUAGCUAGUUGGUAAGGUAACGGCUUACCAAGGCAACGAUGCAUAGCCGACCUGAGAGGGUGAUCGGCCACCCUGGAACUGAGACACGGUCCAGACUCCUACGGGAGGCAUCAGUAGGGAAUCUUCCGCAAUGGGCGAAAGCCGGACGGAGCAACGCCGCGUGAGUGAUGAAGGUCUUCGGAUCGUAAAACUCUGUUAUUAGGGAAGAACAUAUGUGUAAGUAACUGUGCACAUCUUGACGGUACCUAAUCAGAAAGCCACGGCUAACUACGUG
This 497-nucleotide ribosomal RNA is filed under the name uncultured bacterium. RNAcentral's name for it is "partial 16S ribosomal RNA". It matches the Rfam family "Bacterial small subunit ribosomal RNA", at positions 28 to 507 of the family's 1533-position model. The record is from RNAcentral.